GGCGAACGCUGGCGGCAGGCUUAACACAUGCAAGUCGAGCGGGCACCUUCGGGUGUCAGCGGCGGACGGGUGAGUAACGCGUGGGAACGUGCCUUCUGGUUCGGAAUAACCCUGGGAAACUAGGGCUAAUACCGGAUACGCCCUUUUGGGGAAAGGUUUACUGCCGGAAGAUCGGCCCGCGUCUGAUUAGCUAGUUGGUGGGGUAACGGCCUACCAAGGCGACGAUCAGUAGCUGGUCUGCGAGGAUGAUCAGCCACACUGGGACUGCGACACGGCCCAGCCUCCUACGGGAGGCAGCAGUGGGGAAUAUUGGACAAUUGGCGCAAGCGUGAUCCAGCCAUGCCGCGUGAGUGAUGAAGGCCUUAGGGUUGUAAAGCUCUUUUAUCCGGAACGAUAAUAACGGUACCGGAGGAAUAAGCCCCGGCUAACUUCGUGCCAGCCGCCGCCGUAA
Molecule: ribosomal RNA, 451 nt
Filed under: uncultured bacterium
Lineage: Bacteria
Description: partial 16S ribosomal RNA
Rfam family: Bacterial small subunit ribosomal RNA
Source: RNAcentral